AUCUUUGCACAGUGGCAAUAUCAUUGCCAAUGAGGUUUAUUUGAGGUGCAAUUAUUGCUAACUAAACAUCUACUCAGUAUCAUGAUGUACUAAAUCUUUAAGCACUUCAAGAAU
Molecule: small nuclear RNA, 114 nt
Filed under: Ovis aries (sheep)
Lineage: Eukaryota; Metazoa; Chordata; Mammalia; Artiodactyla; Bovidae
Description: U4 spliceosomal RNA (ENSOARG00000022102.1)
Source: RNAcentral